Molecule: transfer RNA, 73 nt
Filed under: bacterium (Candidatus Gribaldobacteria) CG_4_10_14_0_2_um_filter_33_15
Lineage: Bacteria; Candidatus Gribaldobacteria
Also listed under: 1 other name
Description: tRNA-Arg
Rfam family: tRNA
About the family: Transfer RNA (tRNA) molecules are approximately 80 nucleotides in length. Their secondary structure includes four short double-helical elements and three loops (D, anti-codon, and T loops). Further hydrogen bonds mediate the characteristic L-shaped molecular structure. tRNAs have two regions of fundamental functional importance: the anti-codon, which is responsible for specific mRNA codon recognition, and the 3' end, to which the tRNAs corresponding amino acid is attached (by aminoacyl-tRNA synthetases). tRNAs cope with the degeneracy of the genetic code in two manners: having more than one tRNA (with a specific anti-codon) for a particular amino acid; and 'wobble' base-pairing, i.e. permitting non-standard base-pairing at the 3rd anti-codon position.
Source: RNAcentral
GCGCCUGUAGUUCAAUGGAUAGAAUAUUGGCCUCCGGAGCCAAAGAUUGCUGGUUCGAGUCCAGUCAGGCGCA